CAACCCUCGAGCCCCUCCGGGGGGUCGGCGUUGGGGAUCGGCCCUCCCUCGCGGUGGGCCGUCCCCGAAAUACAGUGGCGGUCUCGCCGCAGCCUCUCCUGCGCAGUAGUUUGCCCGCUCGCACCGGGAGCGCGGCGCGUCCACGGCCGUUAAACACCCAACUUUCUGAAA
This 171-nucleotide unclassified non-coding RNA is filed under the name uncultured Trichoderma. Its description in RNAcentral is "sequence contains ITS2". The record is from RNAcentral. Lineage: Eukaryota; Fungi; Ascomycota; Sordariomycetes; Hypocreales; Hypocreaceae.